This 447-nucleotide long non-coding RNA is filed under the name Ananas comosus (pineapple). Its description in RNAcentral is "long non-coding RNA (ACOM_LNC032222)". The record is from RNAcentral. Lineage: Eukaryota; Viridiplantae; Streptophyta; Magnoliopsida; Poales; Bromeliaceae.
CAUUUCUAAAAAGAGUUAAUUUCAUAUAGAUCUCUACAAAUAUAGUAAAUUAUAAAUAUAUUCCUAUAAAGUUCAACUUUCAUAUGUUGUCCUUACAAAAGUUCUUAUGUUUUUAAAUAUGUCCAUCUGACUUGUUACCGUUAGAAAAUCAUUAGAAAACCGUCCAAAUUUUUAAUUUUGUCACCACAAAUAUAUUUCUCCAAAAAUCAUAAUAGUAUAAUAUAAAGACAUAAAAAUGUCAAAAACUAACCAGGAUUAAAUAUUUAAUCUAUGAUUUACUGAAUUUUUCUAACGAAUUCUAACGGAAGAAAUAUAUUUGAAAAUAUCAUGACUUUUUAAAUAACAACAUAUGAAAGUAAAACUUUAUAUAAAUACAUUUGUCGUUCACUAUAUUUUCAGUGACUUUUAUAAAUUAACCCGUCUUUAAAAAAUCACCAGAUCAUAUAC